UCCCUGGUAGCUCAGAGGUUAAAGCAUCUGCCUGCAAUGCGGGAGACCUGGGUUUGAUCCCUGGGUUGGGAA
RNAcentral lists this transfer RNA (72 nucleotides) under Ovis aries (sheep). It matches the Rfam family "tRNA". Rfam says of the family: Transfer RNA (tRNA) molecules are approximately 80 nucleotides in length. Their secondary structure includes four short double-helical elements and three loops (D, anti-codon, and T loops). The record is from Rfam by way of RNAcentral. Lineage: Eukaryota; Metazoa; Chordata; Mammalia; Artiodactyla; Bovidae.